GCACUGCUGAGGAGUCCCAAAAUAGGACGAAACGGCAGUCCAGUGC
Molecule: non-coding RNA, 46 nt
Filed under: Schistosoma haematobium
Lineage: Eukaryota; Metazoa; Platyhelminthes; Trematoda; Strigeidida; Schistosomatidae
Source: RNAcentral